GAAUAUGAAGCAAAUUAAAUGCAAUUAGUUUCGACCUAAUUUAUUGAUAUUAAAUUAUCCUUAUUCU
This 67-nucleotide transfer RNA is filed under the name Geoscapheus robustus. RNAcentral describes it as "tRNA-Arg". Lineage: Eukaryota; Metazoa; Arthropoda; Insecta; Blattodea; Blaberidae. The record is from RNAcentral.